RNAcentral lists this ribosomal RNA (440 nucleotides) under uncultured bacterium. Its description in RNAcentral is "partial 16S ribosomal RNA". It matches the Rfam family "Bacterial small subunit ribosomal RNA", at positions 338 to 795 of the family's 1533-position model. The record is from RNAcentral.
CCUACGGGUGGCAGCAGUGGGGAAUAUUGCACAAUGGGGGAAACCCUGAUGCAGCAACGCCGCGUGAGUGAAGAAGUAUUUCGGUAUGUAAAGCUCUAUCAGCAGGGAAGAAAAUGACAGUACCUGACUAAGAAGCCCCGGCUAACUACGUGCCAGCAGCCGCGGUAAUACGUAGGGGGCAAGCGUUAUCCGGAUUUACUGGGUGUAAAGGGAGCGUAGACGGCUGCGCAAGUCAGAAGUGAAAGCCCGGGGCUCAACCGCGGGACUGCUUUUGAAACUGUAUAGCUAGAGUGCAGGAGAGGUAAGUGGAAUUCCUAGUGUAGCGGUGGAAUGCGUAGAUAUUAGGAGGAACACCGGUGGCGAAGGCGGCUUACUGGACUGUAACUGACGUUGAGGCUCGAAAGCGUGGGGAGCGAACAGGAUUAGAUACCCGAGUAGUC